GCAAACUUGGUCAUUUAGAGGAAGUAAAAGUCGUAACAAGGUCUCCGUUGGUGAACCAGCGGAGGGAUCAUUACCGAGUUUACAACUCCCAAACCCUUAUGUGAACCAUACCUAUCGUUGCUUCGGCGGGGACGCCCCGGCUCUCCGAGCCCGGACCCAGGCGCCCGCCGGAGACCCCAAACUCUUGUAUUUGUUUCAGUAUUUUCUGAGUGGCAAACGCAAAAAAUAAAUCAAAACUUUUAACAACGGAUCUCUUGGCUCUGGCAUCGAUGAAGAACGCAGC
Molecule: unclassified non-coding RNA, 283 nt
Filed under: uncultured fungus
Lineage: Eukaryota; Fungi
Description: partial contains small subunit ribosomal RNA, internal transcribed spacer 1, and 5.8S ribosomal RNA
Rfam family: Eukaryotic small subunit ribosomal RNA (bases 1-73)
Source: RNAcentral